RNAcentral lists this ribosomal RNA (253 nucleotides) under uncultured bacterium. RNAcentral's name for it is "partial 16S ribosomal RNA". It matches the Rfam family "Bacterial small subunit ribosomal RNA", at positions 524 to 776 of the family's 1533-position model. The record is from RNAcentral.
UACAGAGGGUGCAAGCGUUGUUCGGAUUUACUGGGCGUAAAGGGCGCGCAGGCGGCUUUGUUUGUCAGGCGUGAAAGCCCCGGGCUUAACCUGGGAACUGCGUUUGAUACGGCAGGGCUAGAGUUCGGGAGAGGAGAGUGGAAUUCCCAGUGUAGAGGUGAAAUUCGUAGAUAUUGGGAAGAACACCGGUGGCGAAGGCGGCUCUCUGGACCGAUACUGACGCUGAGGCGCGAAAGCGUGGGGAGCAAACAGG